RNAcentral lists this ribosomal RNA (1572 nucleotides) under metagenome. Its description in RNAcentral is "bacterial SSU rRNA". It matches the Rfam family "Bacterial small subunit ribosomal RNA". The record is from RNAcentral.
AGGGUAUGAUACUGGCUCAGAACGAACGCUGGCAGCGUGCCUCACACAUGCAAGUCGAGCGAAAAACUCCGCUUCGGCGGGGGAGUAAAGCGGCAGAAGGGUGAGUAACACGUGGGUCAACUGCCUCCGGGAGCGGGAUAACGGCGGUCCGCCUUGUGCGGACCCUUCGGCGAAAGCGCCGCUAAUACCGCAUGACGAUGCGACGGCACUUCCUUACUCGUAAGCAGGUAGCCGUUGCGUUCAAAUGGUCGUUGGGAUUCGUCCCUUCGUCUGCCCGGAGAGGUGCCCGCGUCCUAUCAGCUAGUUGGCGGGGUAAUGGCCCACCAAGGCAACGACGGGUAGCCGGCGUGAGAGCGUGGCCGGCCACACUGGGACUGAGACACUGCCCAGAGCCCUACGGGGCGCUGCAGUGGGGAAUAUUGCACAAUGGGCGCAAGCCUGAUGCAGCGACGCUGCGUGGGGGAAGAAGGCCUUCGGGUUGUAAACUCCUGUCAGGGGUUAAGAAGUCCGUGCCCGGAAACGGGUACGGUUGACAAAGGCCCCAUGAAGCCAUGGCUAAGUCCGUGCCAGCAGCCGCGGUAACACGGACAUGGCGAGCGGUGUUCGGAAUUACUGGGCGUAAAGCGCGCGUAGGCGGUCGGGCAAGUUGGGUGUGGAAUCGUCCGGCUCAACCGGGCGGGGUCGCCCAAAACUGCCCGACUGGAGCACGGUAGGGGAGAGUGGAACUCCUGGUGGAGCGGUGAUAUGCGUAGAUAUCAGGAGGAACGCCGGCGGCGAAAGCGACUCUCUGGGCCGUUGCUGACGCUGAGGUGCGAAAGUCAGGGGAGCAAACGGGAUUAGAUACCCCGGUAGUCCUGACCGUAAACGAUGGGCACUUGGUAGUGGGGGUUAAACUUCACUGCCGGAGCUAACGCGUUAAGUGCCCCGCCUGGGUAGUACGGCCGCAAGGCUAAAACUCAAAGUAAUUGACGGGCCCUCGCACAAGCGGUGGAGCACGCGCCUUAAUUCGAGACAACGCGAGGAACCUUACCAGGGCUUGACAUGCAAGUGGUACGGACCUGAAAGGGCGAGGACCCAGGGUUAGCCUGGGAGCUUGCACAGGUGCUGCAUGGCUGUCGUCAGCUCGUGUCAUGAGAUGUUGGGUUAAGUCCCAUAACGAGCGAAACCCCUGUCCAUAGUUGCUAGCGGGUAAUGCCGAGGACUCUAUGGAGACUGCCGGCGUCAAACCGGAGGAAGGCGGGGAUGACGUCAAGUCCUCAUGGCCCUUACGCCCUGGGCUGGACGCAUGCUACAAUGGCCGGUACAAAGGGAAGCGAAACCGCAAGGUGGAGCGAAGCUCUAAAAGCCGGUCCCAGUUCGGAUCGGGGGCUGCAAUUCGCCCCCGUGAAUGUAGGAAUCGCUAGUAAUCGCGGAUCAGCCACGCCGCGGUGAAUACGUGCCCGAGGGUUGUACACACCGCCCGUCAAAUCAUGGGAGCUGGGGGCACGCGAAGUCGUGGACCUAACCCGCCUUCGGGUGGGAGGGUCGCGCCCACCGUGAAACCGGCAACUGGGAUUAAGUCGUAACAAGGUA